AAGAAACAGCAGCUCAAGUGCUCAACCCCUUCCUCCUUUGAAUCUCUGUAGGAGUAGGAUCCACACUAGUUGUUGUAGUCGGCCAAACCAUGAAAUUCUCACUGCAAUCAAAAUCCUCUUCAAAACCUAAACCUAAACCAAUCAAACCAAACUUCGAUGACGCCGGCAACAACAACGACCACCACGACUCCAAACAAUUACAAUACAUCACCGAAUUCGAUGCCUCGAAAACCCUAGCCCGCAGCAACCAACCCAAGAUUCCCGUUAUCCCUCCCAUCCCUAACCAAUGGAGGCCCCACAAGAGGAUGAAGAACCUCGACCUUCCCAUCACCUCCCAAUCCUCCGCCGCCUCCGGGGCCCUCUCAUUCGAGCUCGAAUCGCAGCCCCACGUCCCCGAUUCCAACAUCUCCUUCGGUCUCAAUCUCCGCGACAAAUCCGAAUACAAGGACGAUGAUGAACGCCCGCGAUCUACUGCUCCUGUUCCCGUGGAAGCGGUCAUGCUCCAGAAGCUCAAGGACGACCUCGAUAGGCUACCGGAGGAUCGCGGCAUGGAGGAGUUCGACGAUGUCCCCGUCGAGGGCUUCGGCGCCGCCUUGCUCGCCGGCUACGGAUGGCAAAAAGGUAGAGGGAUCGGGAGGAACGCCAAAGAGGACGUGAAAGUCAUUCAGUACGAGAAGCGGACCGACAAGCACGGCCUAGGGUUUCUCAGCUCCGACGAAAGAGACAAAGAGGAGGAGGCUAAAGCGAAAAGGCGCGAUACGGAAAGGAGGUCCUCCAAAGCUGGCAAAAAGAGUUCGCGUUCGAACGUAGAAGAAGAAGAGCCGAAGAAGGCAAAGGCGAAAAAGAGUGGACAAGUGGCGUGGCUGAAGAGUCACAUUCGGGUGAGGGUAAUAAGCAAGGAACUCAAAGGAGGAAGAUUGUACUUGAAGAAGGGGGAGGUUGUGGAUGUGGUUGGACCAACCACGUGUGAUAUAUCAAUGGACGAGAGCAGAGAGCUCGUUCAAGGGGUCUCCCAGGACCUUCUUGAGACGGCGCUCCCUCGCCGUGGGGGACCCGUGCUUGUUUUGUAUGGUAAGCACGAGGGGGUGUAUGGGAAUCUGGUUAGGAGGGAUUCGGAACAAGAAUCUGGCUUGGUUCAGGAUGCCAAUAACCACGAGUUGCUCCGUGUGCCACUCGAACAAAUUGCUGAGUAUAUUGGGGAUCCCAGCUGCCUUGGAUAUUGAUCAUUGUCUAGCUUAUGGUUUCUUUGCUGCGAGAUGUGCAUGAGAAUGAUCAGAGAUUGACGAUGUUACAAUUGGUUGACAAAAUGAAAAUAAAGCACAAACAAGGUUGGCUUUAUGUUCUAUUUCAUUCUCUUCUUUAUCAAAUACUACUGGGCAGGAUAUCAUGUAUAUGCAGAGCAAGACACCUGGACUUUUGUGGUAGAAGUUAAAGAGUAAUGCUACUCUUCACGCCAGAUUCACACCACUGAUGUGGCAGGUCCACCCAAUCAUGCCAUGUCAGCCACUUAAAAAAUUAAAAAAUUAAAAAAAUUCCCUUCCCCAUAGAGCCCCAAAUUUGUUCACUGCCGCCGUUGGUUUGACACUGCUGCUGACAUGCGACAUCGCUGCUCGUUCCACCCAAAUUUCAAGCCCCAGCUCUCUCACUCUCAAGCCACAUAUUUUGUGAAGACUGUGUACCAGAGUGGUUUGAGUGGGAACGAACGUGCCCGUUGUGCAGGGGGCUUUCGUUAAACCUGCUGAUCUCAAAUCAUUUGGUGAUGGAUCAACUAGUCUCUUUUUCCAGUUCUAAAUGACCUUGCUGUAAGCCAGUGAGUUUUUUCUGCUUUGAAGCUCUAAAUCCUUAUUCAAAGCAGCCUUCUCCUGAUCUCUUCGUCUACAGAAGUAAUUUAACCGUAUUUUGAUCUGCCUUGUUCAUGGGUUGCACUGGAAAGCUAGUUGAAGUGCCUGUCUACUAUUGAGUUGGCAAUAUGUUCAUAUGUUGUAUUGAGAAACGUGUCCGUAUCUUUUUUCCUGUAGGCUCCAUUAUAUCAUUAUUCUCCCCAAGGCAUAUAAUGUAUUGUUUCUCACAGUUUCACAAUUCGAAGUGGUUUUGAGAGGGACCUCAA
RNA transcript from Alnus glutinosa, 2107 nucleotides. It is a transcript of the gene named protein MOS2-like, with no coding region annotated. The record is from RefSeq and is a predicted model, not a curated record. Lineage: Eukaryota; Viridiplantae; Streptophyta; Magnoliopsida; Fagales; Betulaceae. The transcript is spliced from 3 exons.